GGCGGCCGCGGGAUUCGAUUAGAGUUUGAUCAUGGCUCAGGAGCGCUCAGAGAUGGGUGUGCCUCUUUUGGGGUCGGUUCACAGGUGGUGCAUGGCUGUCGUCAGCUCGUGUCGUGAGAUGUUGGGUUAAGUCCCGCAACGAGCGCAACCCUUGUUCACUGUUGCCAGCACGUUAUGGUGGGGACUCAGUGGAGACCGCCGGGGUCAACUCGGAGGAAGGUGGGGAUGACGUCAAGUCAUCAUGCCCCUUAUGUCCAGGGCUUCACGCAUGCUACAAUGGCUGGUACAGAGAGUGGCGAGCCUGUGAGGGUGAGCGAAUCUCGGAAAGCCGGUCUCAGUUCGGAUUGGGGUCUGCAACUCGACCUCAUGAAGUCGGAGUCGCUAGUAAUCGCAUAUCAGCAACGCUGCGGUGAAUACGUUCCCGGGGCUUGUACACACCGCCCGUCAAGUCAUGAAAGUUGGCAACACCCGAAGCCGGUGGCCUAACCGUUGUGGGGGAGCCGUC
This 505-nucleotide ribosomal RNA is filed under the name uncultured bacterium. RNAcentral describes it as "bacterial SSU rRNA". It matches the Rfam family "Bacterial small subunit ribosomal RNA", at positions 956 to 1457 of the family's 1533-position model. The record is from RNAcentral.